RNAcentral lists this long non-coding RNA (1595 nucleotides) under Brassica napus (rape). RNAcentral's name for it is "long non-coding RNA (BNAP_LNC012072)". The record is from RNAcentral. Lineage: Eukaryota; Viridiplantae; Streptophyta; Magnoliopsida; Brassicales; Brassicaceae.
GAGGAGCAAGUUUCUUCCCAAAAUGCCAUAAGGACACAAACAUGUCCUUAGGGUUUCUACAACAAUACACAAUCUUACAAGACGAGCUCUUAACAGACUCGGGCAAGGAAAGAUGUGGUAUGUGUGUGUUCAUGAGUCUUGGAGAAGGUAACUUGGAGAAAUCAAAAUCUGGAGACUCAUAGUAAACUCCUUCCAAGAAAGGCACGAGUAGAUGCGGAUUGGUAACAAGAAGAGGAUGAUUACCAGAAGUAGAAGAAACUACUGGAAACUUGUGUCGGUUAAUGAGAGCAAAGACAAGAGCUUUUAACCAAGUGGUACCCGAUUUAGGAUUGGUGACGAGGAUAAUGUCGGAAUCGUUAGCCUCAAAGUGUUUUUGGCACUCCAAGAGUCCUUGUAAGAGAGCUUGUGUGUGCCAACGUCCUUGAAACUGAUACAUUUGACUCACUAACCAACCUUUCUCGCUUGGAAGAGAAGAGAUCAGAUCUCUUGUUUCUUGUGUCAGAUCUUCAUCUCCCAAGUAAUCAGGAACAGCUGAUGAUGAUGAAGACAUUGUUAAAAUUAUUGAUCAAUCUUGAAAAAUGUUAUAAACUAUGAGCUGUUUUUUGCAUCUAUGAGUGUGAUACUUCUGUACUUUUUAUAAGAAAAAUGUUGUGUUGAAUGAGAUGUUUGCUCAACAAGUAAAUAGCGCAGUACUUAGAUCCUUUUGGUCCUAAUCUCUGAUGUAAUAGUCAGCAUAUCUUGCUACUUGCAGAGCACGUAGAAUAAUAUCUAAAGAAGAGAAAGAGAAUCACUACUCUUGUAUAAAAGUCAAAGAUAAGCGCCACAAUAUUUUAGGCCGAUGUCUUUUCUUGUUUGUUGCUUUGUCGGAAAACUUGUGAUGGGCCAAAAGCUCAUGGACUAUGAAAGAUCAAAUCAAAACAAAAAAUAAAUAUAUAGAGGACUAAAAACAGGUCGGGCCAGUUAGGUCCAUCAUCUAUGACAAGAUCACAAUUCACAACACAAUCCUAAAGAAAAAAAAAGGAUUAUUGAAUAGGAAAAAACAAGUUUAAUUAAGCAGAAUCUUAACAAAAGAAUCUAAAAGAAGAACCAAUUAGUUUCUCUUUACUAGGGGUCUUAUCUAUCUCCCCCGCUAGUUAAGGAGUCCCUUCAGAGUAUCUCUUCAUCCACCAGUCUCUCCUCUCCUAAUGCCUUAAUCUCCAUACAAUUCACUAACUUCCAACUUACUCAGAUUCACAAGAGUACACAACCUUACGAACAAAAGGAAGAAAGGCCAAACUCUUUUACUAGAAAAAAGAAACCAAUUGUUGUAUAUUUCUAUAGACAUUUUAGUUCCAAGUGUAAUCUACUUGCGAUAAAGAAAAGGUCUACAACAAUACACAAUCUUACAAGACGAGCUCUUAACAGACUCGGGCAAGGAAAGAUGUGGUAUGUGUGUGUUCAUGAGUCUUGGAGAAGGUAACUUGGAGAAAUCAAAAUCUGGAGACUCAUAGUAAACUCCUUCCAAGAAAGGCACGAGUAGAUGCGGAUUGGUAACAAGAAGAGGAUGAUUACCAGAAGUAGAAGAAACUACUGGAAACUUGUGUCGGUUAAUGAGA